Picea glauca (white spruce) is the source of this 113-nucleotide non-coding RNA. NCBI's taxonomy places the organism in Eukaryota, Viridiplantae, Streptophyta, Pinopsida, Pinales, Pinaceae. The record is from Rfam.
GUUGCUAACUACACAGAUGGAGACAUCCAAUAAAAUUGGAACGAUAAAGAGAAGAUUAGCAUGGCUCCUGCGCAAGGAUGAUACGCACAAAUCGAGAAAUGGUCCAAAUUUUU